RNAcentral lists this ribosomal RNA (254 nucleotides) under uncultured bacterium. RNAcentral describes it as "partial 16S ribosomal RNA". It matches the Rfam family "Bacterial small subunit ribosomal RNA", at positions 524 to 776 of the family's 1533-position model. The record is from RNAcentral.
UACAGAGGUCUCAAGCGUUGUUCGGAUUCAUUGGGCGUAAAGGGUGCGUAGGCGGCGCGGUAAGUCGGGUGUGAAAUCUCGGAGCUUAACUCCGAAACUGCAUUCGAUACUGCCGUGCUUGAGGACUGGAGAGGAGACUGGAAUUUACGGUGUAGCGGUGAAAUGCGUAGAUAUCGUAAGGAAGACCAGUGGCGAAGGCGGCAUCCUGGACCAACACUGACGCUGAGUGAGCGAAAGCCAGGGGAGCAAACGGG